UGGCAGUUGACAUGGUGACUGUGAAUAUGAACGCUGUCUGAGUUUUAUCUGGGAGUGUUUGGAAGUAUUUAUAGCACUGUGAGUUCAAUGCGGAGAAGGAAAAGCUCUUUUUCAUUCUAAGAAGUGAGACACAAAAAUUUAAGAAUGAUUUGUACAUUAAUGUUCUUCUGGGCAUCUGUUCUGUGGUUUCAAGAAUCUAAUGGAGAGAUAACAGUCUCACAGACUCCAGACGUGAAACAUGUUCUUCCAGGAGAGUCUGUCAGUAUCCGCUGUAAAACCAGCGCUCCAGUAUAUCCAGACUGUAGUAGCUCAGGAAAACCUUGCCUGUUCUGGUACCAAAAAAAAGAGGGAGCACCACCAAAAAUCCUAGUUUAUCGUGCAGAUUUGCGCCACCAAGAUGCUCCAGUUAGGUUCAGUGGCAGUGGAUCUGGGAGUGACUUCACACUGGCUAUAAGUGGAGUCCACCGUGAAGACAGUGGAGUGUAUUACUGCAAGAGUAUACACAGCGGUAAUGUGUUCACACAGUGAAACAGAGCCGUACAAAAACCUUCCUCAGUCUGGCUACACAUGACUACCCUGAAACAACGGGGGAACUGUUGUAACGUCAUUGAAAUGACACUGAAAUACAACUCUUGUGUACUAAAUUAAUAUUGUAUACAGCA
Clupea harengus (Atlantic herring) is the source of this 662-nucleotide long non-coding RNA. RefSeq lists it as uncharacterized. Lineage: Eukaryota; Metazoa; Chordata; Actinopteri; Clupeiformes; Clupeidae. The record is from RefSeq and is a predicted model, not a curated record. The transcript is spliced from 2 exons.